RNAcentral lists this small RNA (28 nucleotides) under Bombyx mori (domestic silkworm). Its description in RNAcentral is "piRNA piR-bmo-1562001". The record is from RNAcentral. Lineage: Eukaryota; Metazoa; Arthropoda; Insecta; Lepidoptera; Bombycidae.
UUGCUUUGAUGGUCUCUGCAAUUCACAC